This 261-nucleotide ribosomal RNA is filed under the name uncultured bacterium. Its description in RNAcentral is "partial 16S ribosomal RNA". It matches the Rfam family "Archaeal small subunit ribosomal RNA", at positions 744 to 1004 of the family's 1478-position model. The record is from RNAcentral.
GUCCCAGCUGUAAACGAUGCAGACUCGGUGAUGCACUGGCUUGUGGCCAGUGCAGUGCCGCAGGGAAGCCGUUAAGUUUGCCGCCUGGGAAGUACGUACGCAAGUAUGAAACUUAAAGGAAUUGGCGGGGGAGCACCACAAGGGGUGAAGCCUGCGGUUCAAUUGGAGUCAACGCCAGAAAUCUUACCCGAAGAGACAGCAGAAUGAAGGUCAAGCUGGAGACUUUACCAGACAAGCUGAGAAGUGGUGCAUGGCCGUCGU